GAUUCCCUUAGUAGCGGCGAGCGAAACGGGAUUAGCCCAGCACUAAGCCCAAUUAGCAAUUUUUGUUAAUUGGGGAUGCAGUGUAUGGAGAGUUCAUUAGCUUAUUGCAUAUAGAUAGUAGAUUCAAGUCCAUCUUGAAUGGGGCCACUUUAUCCCAUAGAGGGUGCCAGGCCCGUAGCAAUUACUAUCUGCAAUUUGCGAACGUUUUCUCCUAAGAGUCGUGUUGCUUGAUAGUGCAGCACAAAGUGGGUGGUAAACUCCAUCUAAGGCUAAAUAUAACCACGAGACCGAUAGAGAACAAGUACCGUGAGGGAAAGUUGAAAAGAACUCUGAAUAGAGAGUUAAAGAGUACGUGAAACCGUAUAGGGGUUAAG
This 374-nucleotide ribosomal RNA is filed under the name Phlebotomus papatasi. RNAcentral describes it as "eukaryotic LSU rRNA". It matches the Rfam family "Eukaryotic large subunit ribosomal RNA", at positions 73 to 420 of the family's 3401-position model. Lineage: Eukaryota; Metazoa; Arthropoda; Insecta; Diptera; Psychodidae. The record is from RNAcentral.